This 497-nucleotide ribosomal RNA is filed under the name uncultured bacterium. RNAcentral's name for it is "partial 16S ribosomal RNA". It matches the Rfam family "Bacterial small subunit ribosomal RNA", at positions 28 to 507 of the family's 1533-position model. The record is from RNAcentral.
GAUGAACGCUGGCGGCGUGCCUAAUACAUGCAAGUCGAGCGAACGGACGAGAAGCUUGCUUCUCUGAUGUUAGCGGCGGACGGGUGAGUAACACGUGGAAAACCUACCUAUAAGACUGGGAUAACUUCGGGAAACCGGAGCUAAUACCGGAUAAUAUUUUGAACCGCAUGGUUCAAAAGUGAAAGACGGUCUUGCUGUCACUUAUAGAUGGAUCCGCGCUGCAUUAGCUAGUUGGUAAGGUAACGGCUUACCAAGGCAACGAUGCAUAGCCGACCUGAGAGGGUGAUCGGCCACACUGGAACUGAGACACGGUCCAGACUCCUACGGGAGGCAGCAGUAGGGAAUCUUCCGCAAUGGGCGAAAGCCUGACGGAGCAACGCCGCGUGAGUGAUGAAGGUCUUCGGAUCGUAAAACUCUGUUAUUAGGGAAGAACAUAUGUGUAAGUAACUGUGCACAUCUUGACGGUACCUCAUCAGAAAGCCACGGCUAACUACGUG